AUCUUUCUGUCUCUUUCUACGUUGACUGUUCUUAUUCCACUGGUUUAUUUAGCAGGACUGUUCCACUCAGCCUCUGUAGAAGAAAACUUCCCACAGGGCUGCACUUGCACAGCUAGCCUUUGCUUUUACAGCCUGCUCUUGCCUAUUACCAUACCGGUGUAUGUAUUCUUCCACCUUUGGACCUGGAUGGUUAUUAAACUCUUCAUGCAUAACUGA
RNAcentral lists this long non-coding RNA (216 nucleotides) under Homo sapiens (human). RNAcentral's name for it is "non-protein coding lnc-WDR12-6:1". The record is from RNAcentral. Lineage: Eukaryota; Metazoa; Chordata; Mammalia; Primates; Hominidae.